Manis javanica (Malayan pangolin) is the source of this 1270-nucleotide non-coding RNA. The record is from RefSeq and is a predicted model, not a curated record. NCBI's taxonomy places the organism in Eukaryota, Metazoa, Chordata, Mammalia, Pholidota, Manidae.
UGUAACUUUGGGAGCCACCAACUGGCACACAUUUAUAACUUGGGAAUAUUCUGUCCACUGUACCUGCAUCUAUGUAACAUGUUAUGGAAGAUGGCAGGAACAGUAAGAGUAUAUGAUUAAAAGAUUAAUUUAUCGACCUGUAAGCACUUGGCCAAGAAAUCUGAGAGAAUCCGAAGUACAGGAGCAACAACGUGGAGUAGAAAUGAGGCCACUGGAUCACAUUUCUUUCUUGAUGAUCAACGUGGAAAUCAAAUGAAUUAACAUGGCCAAACAGUUGGGUGCUGGAUGGUGUGUGCAUCAAGACAAACGAUCCCUACAAAGCAGGCUAAGGGGACUCCAUGAUGCCAAGCCAGUAAGAGGAGUUUUGAAGGGUCUAGGCAGAUACCGAAAUAGGCAAAAUGUCCCAUCGGCUCCUCUCCAUCCAAAUCUCCUCAUCCAAAGAAAGAGAAAGAGGGAGGCCUGCAAGUGAGGAAAAGAAAUGAACUGUCCAUUCUUCUCCAUCUGCCCCAUUUCCAAGAAUAUCUUAGGGGCUGAUUCUGAUUCAAACUAUGGCAACAUAAAGUACGAUGGGCGUCCCUGAGAUGUAAUAACCUGCCAGACCACAAUCACAAGCUGUUCCAUCCAUAUCGGUCACGGAGACUAAGUGAGUAAUCUGCCAAAGAUACAGGAAGCUAGGAGUGAGAUGCCAUAUCUAACUUCCAGUGCUAAUGGACGCUAAAUAAUUUUAGAUUUCUUUUUUUUUUUUCAGUUUUGUAAAUGGCCAAGCCUUUCAUAAUUGGCCUAUUACUUGGCCAAUUCCAGACCUACAUAAAGAAAUGUGCAUGUGUGUUUUCUGCAAGAAAUUUUUAAUAAUCUUUCCUGAUCAAAAUUUGUAAGGAUACUGCAAAAGCUUUCAUUUUGGAGAACUUAAUUACUAGCACUAUAGUGACUAUUAUUGCCCGGGUCUCACAUAUCCUCAAGUCUGUCCAUUAAACAUCUGAAACAACACUUAUUUAAAAUAUUCCAUACCCUCAUUUCUAACUUGCUAUGCUGUUUCCUUUUUCUUUUAUUCCUUAAACUUUCAUCCUUUUAAUAGGAAAUAAUUGUAUAAUUCAUAUUCAGUUUUCUGCAUGUAGGGGUUUUUUCCAAAUUAAAAAUAGAAAAAUUAAAAAUUAAAGUAUGGUUGGAUGAAAGGCUGCCUCAAGCCCAUUUGCCAUUAAUGGGUUUGACCUCAGGAAAAAUGAAGACAAAACCACUUUUAGUGCAUCAAUUGCAAAUUGUUGAUGCCAGC